Molecule: ribosomal RNA, 341 nt
Filed under: uncultured bacterium
Lineage: Bacteria
Description: bacterial SSU rRNA
Rfam family: Bacterial small subunit ribosomal RNA
Source: RNAcentral
GAUGAACGCUGGCGGCGUGCUUAACACAUGCAAGUCGAACGAAGCAUAUUUAACGGAGUUUUCGGACAAAGUUUUAUAUGACUUAGUGGCGGACGGGUGAGUAACGCGUGAGUAACCUGCCUUACACAGGGGGAUAACAGUUAGAAAUGACUGCUAGUACCGGAUGAUGCACAUUGGUCGCAUGUCCGAUGUGCCAAAGAUCCGUUGUGCAAAGAUGGGCUCGCGUCUGAUUAGAUAGUUGGUGAGGUAACGGCUCACCAAGUCGACGAUCAGUAGCCGGACUGAGAGGUUGAACGGCCACAUUGGAACCUGAGAUACGGUCCAGACUCCUACGGGAGGCA